Molecule: ribosomal RNA, 819 nt
Filed under: uncultured Pseudomonadota bacterium
Lineage: Bacteria; Pseudomonadati; Pseudomonadota
Description: bacterial SSU rRNA
Rfam family: Bacterial small subunit ribosomal RNA
Source: RNAcentral
AAAGUCCCGCAAGGGAUCGGUAGAGUGGCAAACGGGUGAGUAACACGUGGGUGACCUGCCUUCGAGUGGGGGAUAACGUCCCGAAAGGGACGCUAAUACCGCAUGACAUCCUGCCUUUGAAGAGGUGGAGAUCAAAGCUGGGGAUCGCAAGACCUAGCGCUUGAAGAGGGGCCCGCGUCUGAUUAGCUAGUUGGUGAGGUAACGGCUCACCAAGGCUACGAUCAGUAUCCGGCCUGAGAGGGCGGACGGACACACUGGGACUGAGACACGGCCCAGACUCCUACGGGAGGCAGCAGUGGGGAAUUGUUCGCAAUGGGCGCAAGCCUGACGACGCAACGCCGCGUGGAGGAUGAAGACCUUCGGGUCGUAAACUCCUUUCGAUCGAGACGAACGGCUUCCGGGCAAAUAUCCCGGGAGAUUGACGGUACCGAGAGAAGAAGCCCCGGCUAACUCCGUGCCAGCAGCCGCGGUAAUACGGGGGGGGCAAGCGUUGUUCGGAAUUACUGGGCGUAAAGGGCUCGUAGGCGGCCAACUAAGUCAGACGUGAAAUCCCUCGGCUUAACCGGGGAACUGCGUCUGAUACUGGAUGGCUUGAGGUUGGGAGAGUGAUGCGGAAUUCCAGGUGUAGCGGUGAAAUGCGUAGAUAUCUGGAGGAACACCGGUGGCGAAGGCGGCAUCCUGGACCAAAUCUGACGCUGAGGAGCGAAAGCCAGGGGAGCAAACGGGAUUAGAUACCCCGGUAGUCCUGGCCCUAAACGAUGAAUGCUUGGUGUGGCGGGUAUCGAUCCCUGCCGUGCCGAAGCUAACGCAUUAAGCAUU